RNAcentral lists this ribosomal RNA (508 nucleotides) under uncultured bacterium. RNAcentral describes it as "bacterial SSU rRNA". It matches the Rfam family "Bacterial small subunit ribosomal RNA", at positions 28 to 526 of the family's 1533-position model. The record is from RNAcentral.
GAUGAACGCUAGCGACAGGCUUAACACAUGCAAGUCGAGGGGCAGCAUAAAAGUAGCAAUACUUUGGUGGCGACCGGCGCACGGGUGAGUAACGCGUAUGCAACCUACCUAUCAGAGGGGGAUAACCCGGCGAAAGUCGGACUAAUACCGCAUAAAACAGGGGCACCGCAUGGUGAUAUUUGUUAAAAAUUUAUUGCUGAUAGAUGGGCAUGCGUUCCAUUAGGUAGUUGGAGAGGUAACGGCUCACCAAGCCCACGAUGGAUAGGGGAACUGAGAGGUUGGUCCCCCACACUGGUACUGAGACACGGACCAGACUCCUACGGGAGGCAGCAGUGAGGGAUAUUGGUCAAUGGGCGAGAGCCUGAACCAGCCAAGUCGCGUGAAGGAAGACGGUUCUAUGAAUUGUAAACUUCUUUUGUGCAGGAAUAAAGUGGGUUACGUGUAACCUUCUGUAUGUACUGUACGAAUAAGGAUCGGCUAACUCCGUGCCAGCAGCCGCGGUAAAGGU